UAGGGAAUCUUCCACAAUGGACGCAAGUCUGAUGGAGCAACGCCGCGUGAGUGAAGAAGGUCUUCGGAUCGUAAAGCUCUGUUGUUGGUGAAGAAGGAUAGAGGCAGUAACUGGUCUUUAUUUGACGGUAAUCAACCAGAAAGUCACGGCUAACUACGUGCCAGCAGCCGCGGUAAUACGUAGGUGGCAAGCGUUGUCCGGAUUUAUUGGGCGUAAAGCGAGCGCAGGCGGAAUGAUAAGUCUGAUGUGAAAGCCCACGGCUCAACCGUGGAACUGCAUCGGAAACUGUCAUUCUUGAGUGCAGAAGAGGAGAGUGGAACUCCAUGUGUAGCGGUGGAAUGCGUAGAUAUAUGGAAGAACACCAGUGGCGAAGGCGGCUCUCUGGUCUGCAACUGACGCUGAGGCUCGAAAGCAUGGGUAGCGAACAGGAUUAGAUACCCUGGUAGUCCAUGCCGUAAACGGUGAGCGCUAGGUGUUGGGGACUUUCCGGUCCUCAGUGCCGCAGCAAACGCAUUAAGCGCUCCGCCUGGGGAGUACGACCGCAAGGUUGAAAC
Molecule: ribosomal RNA, 554 nt
Filed under: uncultured bacterium
Lineage: Bacteria
Description: partial 16S ribosomal RNA
Rfam family: Bacterial small subunit ribosomal RNA
Source: RNAcentral